This 72-nucleotide transfer RNA is filed under the name Sphaerodactylus townsendi. RNAcentral describes it as "tRNA-Gly". Lineage: Eukaryota; Metazoa; Chordata; Lepidosauria; Squamata; Sphaerodactylidae. The record is from RNAcentral.
GGGGCUGUGACUCAAUGGUAAAUCAUCUGCUUGCCAUGCAGAAGGUCCCAGGUCCAAUCCCAGGCACCUGCA